Molecule: small nuclear RNA, 57 nt
Organism: Rattus norvegicus (Norway rat)
Lineage: Eukaryota; Metazoa; Chordata; Mammalia; Rodentia; Muridae
Gene: Rnu7-151
Product: RNA, U7 small nuclear 151
Source: Ensembl
CAGUUCUUUUUUUAGAAUUUGUCUUGUGGGCUUUCUGAAUUUUGUCAGAAAACCCAA